AGGGCAUCAAUGAUGAGAUGAUUAAAUUGUUAUCCUUGAACUUUGAUUGUCAGUGAAGAAACAAAGUGGGCAUUUUUAUAUCUGAGAUGCUU
Small nucleolar RNA from Hibiscus syriacus, 92 nucleotides. RefSeq annotates it as small nucleolar RNA snoR26. The record is from RefSeq and is a predicted model, not a curated record. NCBI's taxonomy places the organism in Eukaryota, Viridiplantae, Streptophyta, Magnoliopsida, Malvales, Malvaceae. The transcript has a single exon.